UACCGUGAGAACCAUAAGUCACCAGGAUACUACGAUGGCAGAUACUGGACCAUGUGGAAGUUGCCCAUGUUCGGGUGCACUGAUGCAACCCAGGUCUUGGCUGAGGUGCAGGAGGCAAAGAAGGCUUACCCACAGGCAUGGGUCCGUAUCAUCGGAUUCGACAAUGUUCGUCAAGUGCAGUGCAUCAGUUUCAUCGCUUACAAGCCCGAAGGAUACUAAGUUCUAGAAAAACUAAUUGCCCUAUGUUUAUAGGGACAGUUUGUUUGAAUUCUCCUUUGGGUUUUCCCUUGAGAAAUUGUAUUCAUUUUCCCUUGUUUUCCAUCUUUUUAUUCCGUGUAUGAUUAAUUCGAAUUUCAAUCAAGUUUACAAGAACUAUAUUAAUGAUAUUUGUUUCUUUACUAAUCUCUUUCUGAAAAAUUGCUUAAUUUGUGGUUUAUUUAUAUAGCUAGUGAAGAAACCUUACCCAGAACACGAACCAGGUUCGUGUAGUAAAGAUACAAACACUUAUUGAAUUAAAAACCUUCCUCACUCAAGGAAGGAAAAACCUUGUUUUAUUAAUUCAACUAUAAGAUUUUGUGAUUACAACUCAAUAAUCAAAAGUCUUAUCUCUACUACUCCCUCGAUUGACUCCAAUCGAUCUCUCCAAAAGGCCAAACCCACCUUUUGUUACAACUCUUACUAAGACUCAACCCUACAAAGAGUCAAACCCACGUAGUAAUCCUAUCAACCUUGAAGACUUCAAUUUGAUGAAUAAUUCUCCCUUGUUCUCUGCGUGAAGUCGUCGUAUUCUUCAUACGCGUCUUUUUCUUCUUAUAGAGUUCCUUUUGCCUUCAGUCCUCAGAUAAGGUAAGGAAGUUAUUAUUAAACAAGGAUUCCCUUUUAAAGUACAAUCCUUAUUAUAUACAACUUCCUUCCUUAAUAAUAUAUUUAAGGUUUUCCUUAUUUGUAUCAACUUAUACCUUUAAUAUAUUAUUUUUGGCUUUGACAAAUAACUCUAUUUUCUUGAUUACUUGGCUAAUCCAUUUCAUUUUACUCGAUCUUGGCUUCUUUUGCUGCGUACAUUUGCUAUUGAUUAUUUGUGCUUCUUGUCUAUCAUCAAAACAUGAAUUAUCGAUUCUAUCAUAUUCUAUCAGCUAGCUAGCACCACAAACUUGGAUUUGGCUUUAGAUUACUUCACUCCAGCCAUACUCCAUGGCAAUGGCCUCAUUGUAUGCGCUGCUUAGAAAUAGACCAAUUUUAAUUUGUUGCUAUUGUAGUCAUAUUUUAAUUAUACGAUUAUUUACACGAGACAGUGCAGGGUUCGCAAAUUGAUUUCAUCUCUUAAAGUUUCUGUCUAUAGUUGGAAAGAAUAGCAGGACAUUUUUAGUACGUUUUUUAAAGAAGCAUAUCCAUUACUAUCCCACAGUUUGAGAGUGUUCAUCCUAACUUUCUUGUACUUUUCCCUGUUGAGGAUAUUUAUUUAAACUAUUAAUAAAAGACGAGUAGACAUCUAUCUAGUGGUAUAAAUUCUCAACAAAAAUAAUAAUAAAAAAAUAGCAUGCAUUGGUUCCAAAGAAGUGUACAUUGGUAUAACUACUACAACAACAUAUUGUGUGAAAUCCCACGAGAGGAAAUUGAAAUUGAGUGGGAAACAAAUGUUUUUUGCAGAGAAUAUGAUGAAGCAUUAAAAAAAGAAACUGACAAAUUCUUCGCUGAAGCUAUUCUGUUGAAGUUGUUUAACCAUGAAAAGGUUAUGAAAUGCUUCUCUUAUUAGUUCGGUCCCAAGUCCAAAACUCUCUACAUGAUCACAGAGUCAUUCCCCUCAGGCAGCUUGAAAAAGUAUUGGUCAAAGUACGAUAAUGGCGUUGCUAUUGAUUUGGCGAGUAACAAAAAUUGGGGCAGGAAGAUUCUUGAAGAUUUGAAUUUUCUUCAUUGUCAGAGGCAGGCAGAGUCUGGAAGGUUUGAACUUUCUUCAUUGUCAGAGCCCUAAGAUCGUCCAUCGAGACAUCACGACAAUGUGUUCAUUCAGAGUGGUGGGAACUGGGAAGCGAGUUACGCUUGGAGAAUUUGGGUUGGCAGAAGAGAUUCACUUGUUAUGGUUCUUGAACUAUCACUAUACAUUUCAUAACACCUGCACAAUCAGCAUAGCUGAAUAUCAAUCAACAAUUGAGAAAGAAGGGAGUGACUUAAAUAUCACAUCAGGAUUGUGAUGUAACCCAGCCUACUAGUACUUUGAUUGUGGAAAUGACAUAAAUAAGCUUCAAACAAUAAUAUUUUCCACGACCUCCACCCCACCAUUAUCAAGGACGGUGAUGAGUUUUCAAUUGUGAGCAAUACCAAACUUUGCGAGCUCAUGAACAUGGUUUUAAUUCUCCAUCUCAUUGAUCUACUUCUAAUUCUACACAAUGAAAGCUAUUUACUCCAAAAAUAAAGCUUCUUUUUCCGCUUGUCAACCUACAUUUACAAUUCAAACUAUGCACUGAAAAGUACUAGUAAUGCAUAAUAGAUGCUAUUAAGUUUGAUUGCAAAAAAGACGUACAAUCAUCAAAUAAACAUGCCUAACAAUAAUGACAAUAUUUUCAACUUCCAAACUUAUGAUAAGAAGAUAAAUCAUAACCAUUAUGAACUGCAAAUUACUAUCAUUCAAACAAAUCCAUGAUAUUGUAGCGCAAAGAAGACACACAACAUGUCAAAUUGUUAGCUUUCUACUUUUUCCUGAUUGAUUAAUAUGGCCAUCCAUCGAUCUUUUAUAAGGGACACAAACUUAUUAGUGUUUCCUGUUGUGCAUUUUAUCCAACACAAAGAAGUUCGGCUAAUUGUAAUGUUCCUGCAAAAUCAGCCACACUUUAUUCAUUUGAGUCCCACUGGACAAAAGUCUGUCUGUAUUACAGAUUUUAAGUAUGUAUUAUAAAAGUCAACCAAUCAGCCUUUAAACUUGAACCCUACUUCAGAUCAAGCAAUCACCCAACCAGUUUCAAUAACAAUCUUAUCUAAGAAUUCAGUUCCAAGAACAAACUUAUCUGAAGAAUAAAUGUAAAAAUACUCGAUGCUAAAAGAAACUGAAGUUAACGUCAUCCUGUAUGUGGUAAUAUAUCGUAUAGAUACUGUUCUAAAAAAACCUGUUAUUUGAUGGGUGUUAGUUAAUAGAAAAAAAUUCGACUAACCAGAAUAUCAAGGAGCAUUUGAAUUGCCGCGUUGCUUUUCAAUUUCUUGCUUUUGUUUCUCAGCAAGUUUAUCCAAAGCAGCUUCCAGAGCAUCCCGACCUCCAAUAAGCAACCUGGUGAUGACCUCUGGAUCUCUCUCAAAUUGUGCCUCCUCGAACUCUUUUCGGACAUUUUCUCUAAGAACAUCCCGCCAGGGAAUGCCUUGAGAGUUGGCCCACAUGAAGAAGCGGGUUGCGCGGAUGACAUCUCGGUAGAGACUUAGAGCCUCGCGUCGACUGCUAGUGAGUCGUUGUCUAUUUAGGAGCUCGUUCUCGUCAUCAUCAAGGUUCUUCUCCUUUUUGACCACAUGUCUAUCCAAUAGUUCCUCCAUAGUGUCUGGACCAUGGUGCAGGAGGCAAUAGUGAUGCAAGAGCCAUCUUGACUUGAAACUAUGAUCCAAAGCAGUUGAAAGAUUUCGGAACUUUCGAAUAUUAGCAUUCAUCUGAAACCUCGACUUGACUGGUACAGAAAGAGAAACAAGACUUUAGAGAAAUCGUACUUCAUCAUAUACUUCACACGAGAAACGCAUGUAGAUCAACAUGAAGUGAAAAAUGGUCCAAGUUAAAAAUAAACUUGUUAAGAAGGUCAGUAACAUCCAAACAGAAAGUCUUGCUUUUCUUAAGAAUGCUAUCAAACACAAUAGCCAGAGAACAGAAGUGGUGCGCAUCUUCUGGUAUGAGAGAUACUACAACAGCAACAACAACAUACAACAUACCCGAGAAAUCUCACAAAGUGGGGGUAUGCCAGAUACUACAUGAUUGGAAUAUAUUCCAGCUGAUUCAAUACUUUCUACAGCAAUGCACGACAGGAAUAAAGAUGAACAAAAUCAAAAAAAAAAAAAGAACUUCUCUUUUUCCAUUUGGGCGCGUAAUGAAAGAGCUCCAUGUGGAAGAAUGGGAGAACCCACAUGCUUAUUCCAUUCAGUUUAAUCAGAAUUCAAGCAUAAUCAAUUUGGAAAAAGCAUAACCAAAACAGUAUAGAACAGAGAAAAUAGAUAAAUUAGAAGACAGCAACACUAUAAAAAGAACAAUUUACUCUUCACCGGAACUUCUCCUAACAAAAUGUAAUCAACAGGUACUGGCAACAUAACACAAAAAAAAUUUGACUACAACAUACACAAUUGAGUUCACACAAAAAAAAAAUUAAAAUCUGAAAGUAGCCCUAAUUACAGAAAAAAGAUUGAAGAUGUAACCUGUUGUAGGUAUCUGCAAAUUAGUGAGUGGAAAAGAGAGAAUGCACAACAAUACUUUGGGCAAUUAGCGUUGUAGGAACGGAAGAAGAAUUGGAAAAUAGUGUUUGGCAAUUGCGGGUCGAAAAAUGGGUUAAAAUGGCAAUUGCGGGUAGAGAAGAUGGGCCAUAAAUGGUUACAAAAUAGAUAUGGGCUCAACAUAUUUUCUGGGCAGCCAAUUUUAAAGGCAUUUUCCUUUGAGGAAAUAAUUUCUUUGGACUUCAGAAUAUGAGUUGAAAGUAAUAAUUCUAAUAAUGAAAUUAAACAAGGAUGAUUAAAUGGCAACAAAAUGGAGUAAUAUGGAUAAUCAACGCAACUAUAUAGAGAAAAAAUAAUAGCGCUACCAUAUACGAAAAAUAGUAAAAAAUUAUAAUAAUGAUUCAGAAUAAAUUAUUAAUAACUAAAAAGCGUAAAGAAAUAAAUUAGAGAAUAAGUGAUACAAAAUUGGAUGUUAAUGGAUACUUCUUAUAAUUGCUUAAAAGGAAUACAAGAUGGGAAAUAAUGUGUUAUUAUUAUUGAUGUAUAAAGAAUUUGUACAAUUUUUGUAUCAAUAAAGUUCCAAAAAUAAUCUUUAAAAAAUAAAAGUACCCUUUUAUGAACUUUUUAUCAAAUAAAUGAAAUCCAAUAUUAGCAAAACAUUGAUAUUAUUACUAAAUAUUUGUUAAAUUAAAAAAUAUGUCAUUUUAUUUUUUAACAGAUAUUUUUUAAAGUAAAUGUUAUAAAUUACGAAAAAGGGAUUAAUGAGUAUCAAAACAGCCUAAAUGGGAGGAGACAAUAACAGAAAUUUGCUGUAGUAAGGUGGCUUAAGUCAUCAUUUAAUUUGAUAUUAUAAAAAUUCUAAUUAGUUUAUAGUCUUUCUUUUCCUCUUUUGUUUGUCUUGUAUGCUAAAAAAGGUAUAUUAUAUCUAUAAAUUAUGUAGCAUAAUGACCACAUCUGGCAUCAUCUUUACACAAUUCACCUAAAUAUCUCAAGCGAAGUUUUGCCAAAACUGAAGAAAAGAUUUGAACAACCUAUCAAGUAACAAAAAUCCCAAACAAUAUAGUCAUCUAUAUUAAAUCUUUUCAAUUGAAGAAAUUGUCAAAGACACAUACCUCUAUGAGUUUUUUCAUCAAUUUUUUUUUCUUUUUUAAACUGUAUUUUUAAAAAAAUAUUGAAUAAAACAUGUCCUAUUCAUUAGUUUGGGAACUUUAAGAUAAGGAGUGUGUAAUUUCAGAGGCUAUUAAUUUUGAAAUGUCAAGAGCCACAUAAUCCAAUGGUUAUGGUUGCUCUUAGAUGAGGUUAUUGCUUUAGGUGAAACCUUAUCAUCAUUAUAUAUACAAGGGGAUACUAGAGACCAAUUAUUGUCAACAAUGGCUUCCUCUAUAGUUUCUUCAGCUGCUGUUGCCACCCGCGGCAAUGGUGCACAAGCUAGCAUGGUUGCACCCUUCACUGGACUCAAGUCCACUGCUUCUUUCCCUGUUUCAAGGAAGCAAAACCUUGACAUUACCUCCAUUGCUAGCAACGGUGGAAGAGUCAGUUGCAUGCAGGUUUGUGUGUGUAUAUAUAUAUAUGUACAACAAAAUUCAUUGACUAUAAUGCUAUACUCGAUUAGCUAAUUUAACUAUUUAUAAUUGUAUAGGUGUGGCCACCAAUUAACAUGAAGAAGUACGAGACUCUGUCGUACCUUCCUGAUUUGUCCGACGAGCAAUUGCUCAGCGAAAUUGAGUACCUAUUGAAAAAUGGAUGGGUUCCUUGCUUGGAAUUCGAGACUGAGGUUAACCUCUGUUUUUAAAAUUUAUAUAUUAGCUAGUGUGUUGAUAUGUUGUGUUAAUAGUGUUGUGGGAUAUCAUGUGCAGCACGGAUUUGUGUACCGUGAGAACCAUAAGUCACCAGGAUACUACGAUGGCAGAUACUGGACCAUGUGGAAGUUGCCCAUGUUUGGGUGCACUGAUGCAACCCAGGUCUUGGCUGAGGUGCAGGAGGCAAAGAAGGCUUACCCUCAGGCAUGGGUCCGUAUCAUCGGAUUCGACAAUGUUCGUCAAGUGCAGUGCAUCAGUUUCAUCGCUUACAAGCCCGAAGGAUACUAAAAUGCCAAUUUUUAAUUAUGUAAUGUAUAACUGACCCUAUGUAUUUAGGGGAAGCUUGUUUGAAUCCUCCUUAAAGUUUUUCUCUGGAGAAACUGUAGUAAUUUUACUUUGUUGUGUUCCCUUCAUCUUUUGAAUUAAUGGCAUUUGUUUUAAUACUAAUCUGCUUCUGAAACUUGUAAUGUAUGUAUAUCAGUUUCUUAUAAUUUAUCCAAGUAAUAUCUUCCAUUCUCUAUGCAAUUGCCUGCAUAAGCUCGACAAAAGAGUACAUCAACCCCUCCUCCUCUGGACUACUCUAGCUAAACUUGAAUUUCCCCUUAAGAUUAUGAAAUUGAUAUAUCCUUAACAAACGACUCCUUCUGUUGGAAAAUGUAGUACUUGUCUUUCUUCUUUUGGGUAUAUAUAGUUUAUAUACACCAUACUAUGUACAACAUCCAAGUAGAGUGAAAUGGAUACAUGUACAAGACUUAUUUGAUUGAUUGAUGACUUGAGUUGCCUUAGGAGUAACAAAUUCUUAGGUCAAUAAAUCGUUGAUUUGAAAUUAAUCUCUCUGUCUUAGACAGAUAGGAAUUAUGACUUCCAAUGGUCCAGAAAGCAAAGUUCGCACUGAGGGUAUACUUGGAAUUGAGACUUGCACAGGUCCAGAAACCAAAGUUCCCAUCGAGCUCUAAAAUCACAUCUUUGGAAUGAAAUUCAAUUAGAGAUAAGUUGCUUCAUAGCAUAGGUAAAAUGGAAGAUGUGAAGUAACCUGCAAUAAUCAGUGAAAUGACAUUAAUACACUAAAUACUUCAUAUGUAAUUAUCCUUUCCAGGUUAACAAUACUCUAUAAAGUAAGAAUUAUCAGAAAUGGGCUCAUCAAACUUUUGUACUAUGUAUUUCAUAUAAGGAAGUAUAACUAUACAUAAGUGUAUACACAACUUUAUUCCUAUUUUGUAAAGGUGGAGAGACUGUUUUCGAUGGAUCUAAAGCAAUAUGUCUAUAAAAUGCAUUGAUAUAAUAAUUAUCUGAGAAAAUCCAGAAUUGGCGUUGGAUUAUUUCAGCCAAAUAGAAGUUUGUACCAUACUUGUUGAUUCCUUCUAAGUUAAGGUGAAGUAUCAUUCAUAAACAGUUUUCCCCAAAGUACUACUCACCAAGUUUCCCUUUGUAGAAUUAACAGUUCAAAUAUAUGGCGCAGAAAUUACUCUAUGCCCAAAACCAAACGAGAAAGAAACAAAAUACAGGGGUUGCAGACUUUAUUUUCGUGUUAGGGUGUGUUUUUUCAUGUAAUUAAUCAAAAAAUAUUAUGACAAAAACAUUUAUACAUAUUUUUACUCAACACUCUGGGUAUCAGGGUGGGUUGUGUUCGACAAUCAAUAUGGAAAGGAAGUAUUUUCCUUAUUUUUUUAGUUAAUAUUUUCAGUUAUACCAAACAUACCUUGUGAUAUUAUUUUUAAAAAUGAAAAACUCGUCAGAAAGAAAAAGCAAAAGCAACAAAAAAAUUGCAAGUAUUUUUUAAAAAAGAAAAAAAAAACAUAUCUUGUUUGUCAGUAUGGGAAGUUUGAGAUAAGGACGAGUGAGGGGUUAAAAUUCAGUGGCCAUUGAUUUUGUAAUGCCAAGAACCACAAAAUCCAAUGGUUACCAUUCCUGUAAGAUGAGGUUUGCUAACUCUUUUUGUCCGUUAGAUAGGAAGCCUUAUCACUAUAUAUACAAGGCGUCCUAAUAACCUCUUAGUAACCAAUUAUUUCAGCAAUGGCUUCUUCAGUAAUGUCCUCAGCAGCUGUUGCCACCCGCGGCAAUGGUGCACAAGCUAGCAUGGUUGCACCCUUCACUGGACUCAAGUCCACCGCUUCUUUCCCUGUUUCAAGGAAGCAAAACCUUGACAUUACCUCCAUUGCUAGCAACGGUGGAAGAGUCAGUUGCAUGCAGGUUUGUGUGUGUAUAUAUAUAUACGUACAACAAAAUUCAUUGACUAUAAUGUUAUACUCGAUUAGCUAAUUUAACUAUUUAUAAUUGUAUAGGUGUGGCCACCAAUUAACAUGAAGAAGUACGAGACUCUGUCGUACCUUCCUGAUUUGUCCGACGAGCAAUUGCUCAGCGAAAUUGAGUACCUAUUGAAAAAUGGAUGGGUUCCUUGCUUGGAAUUCGAGACUGAGGUCAACAUCUAUCUCCUCUGUUUUUAAAAUUUACUAGCUAGUAUGUUGAUAUGUCGUGUUAACAGUGUUGUGGGAUAUCAUGUGCAGCACGGAUUUGUGUACCGUGAGAACCAUAAGUCACCAGGAUACUACGAUGGCAGAUACUGGACCAUGUGGAAGUUGCCCAUGUUCGGGUGCACUGAUGCAACCCAGGUCUUGGCUGAGGUGCAGGAGGCAAAGAAGGCUUACCCACAGGCAUGGGUCCGUAUCAUCGGAUUCGACAAUGUUCGUCAAGUGCAGUGCAUCAGUUUCAUCGCUUACAAGCCCGAAGGAUACUAAGUUCUAGAAAAACUAAUUGCCCUAUGUUUAUAGGGACAGUUUGUUUGAAUUCUCCUUUGGGUUUUCCCUUGAGAAAUUGUAUUCAUUUUCCCUUGUUUUCCAUCUUUUUAUUCCGUGUAUGAUUAAUUCGAAUUUCAAUCAAGUUUACAAGAACUAUAUUAAUGAUAUUUGUUUCUUUACUAAUCUCUUUCUGAAAAAUUGCUUAAUUUGUGGUUUAUUUAUAUAGCUAGUGAAGAAACCUUACCCAGAACACGAACCAGGUUCGUGUAGUAAAGAUACAAACACUUAUUGAAUUAAAAAC
Molecule: long non-coding RNA, 9224 nt
Filed under: Solanum lycopersicum (tomato)
Lineage: Eukaryota; Viridiplantae; Streptophyta; Magnoliopsida; Solanales; Solanaceae
Description: long non-coding RNA (SLYC_LNC001215)
Source: RNAcentral